Molecule: long non-coding RNA, 3103 nt
Organism: Strigops habroptila (Kakapo)
Lineage: Eukaryota; Metazoa; Chordata; Aves; Psittaciformes; Psittacidae
Source: Ensembl
UUUCACAUCAAAGGCAUUUUAUUUUGCAAGCAUUUCUUUGUUAUUUCCUACUUAGACUUUGCUAGUAAGCUGCUGAGAGGGACACUGGCACCACUGCUCAGCCUCCCCACCUCCCACUGCUGAACCGGCGGGGUUUGGGUUUCCAUUCCUGCACAGGGGCAUCAGGUCACCAGUAACCCAUGGACACAAAUAUGCUCAAAAUAACACCUCGAUUGUCCAAGCUCAGAGCUGCAGCACCAGGAGGGUCAGGAGUGGUGCAGGAUCUGGUGUCCCAACAUUGCUCUGCCCGGGUUCGCCCAUGUGAGACCAUCCCUCUUGCCCCACCAUGAGCACUGAUGGCUGGAGCUUCACCUGCAGAGCUGAGCUGCAGCAAAAUGGGACACAGCCAUGGCACACAGGUACGGGUGCUGCUGUGACAGUGGAGUGGCAUCUGGCCUGGCAGUGUGAUUCCCAGUUAUCUGUGGGGAGGUUUUUUGACAGCUUUUUCUUACCCUGCCAGUAGUGUGCUGGUUCGCAGCUGCAUCUCAGUGAAGACCCUGCAGUCACACGGGAUGUUACAUCAGUUACUAACUUCUUCAGUCCCUGAAAUGCCAGCCAGCCUCUGGAAUGGCUCAGUAAAGAACCAAGCCUGGUCAGGUGAGAGAGAGGACGAGGAGCCUCCCCGUGAGCCCGGCAGGGCAUGGGGUGCAGGCAGCAAUGGAGGUCAAGCGAGAACAAGGUUCACACUUGUCAGCAGAAGGAGAAAUUAACCCAUCCAGCAUGUUGUAAGCACAGCUGUGGGGCAGCCGUGUCCCUGCACCGGUGCACUGCUCUCCUCCCUUGUGCCCAGUGAACCCCCUUUGGCUCUCACUGCAGUGACCACAAUGAAGCAUUCGGUCCUUCAGAUCUGAGCGAGGCAGGCAGGGCUGCGACCUGCCUGGGCAGGAGCAAUGCCAGCCCCUGCCCCUGGGGAGCAACAGCCGGAGAAGCACAGGGCUGCUUACAGCAGCCUUCUGCGCUCCUCCGCUUCCUCUUCCUAAAUAAUUUGGCUUUAGAACACAUUGGCUGAUGCUGCUCAACAGUUUGCUGUUGGCUGUGCACUGCAGUGCUCGGCAAUGCCUUACGGCAUGAGACUGCUCCUGGUGAGUGUGGUCAGUGCUCAGAGCUGGCAGAGCAGCAGGGCUGGGUGCACUGGGACAUGGGAUGACAAGCCCUCAGCAGCCCAAAGAAGCCGAGCCAGAGGGUUCUGGAUGGUUGUGCCUCAUUGCCAGAGGUCAUCUGCUCAUGGUUGGAGCUUCAUGCUGUCCUCGUCCCUGCAGGGUCUCUGCAUGGUCUGGGUAAGAGGAUGGGAUGGUUUUGCCAGGGCUCCCAUACAGCCCUGUGACAGGCUGCCAGGGGUUCUCCUGCAUGUCUGCAGCAUCAGAGACCGACUAAUAACUGACUAAUCGUACAGUGUAAUUACUGGUUACUUUUGCCCUCUAAAAUAAAGUGCUACCUCAUAAUUAAAAAUAAAGAGAAUGGCAAUCCUAAUUACUAGGCUUUCAUUAGGCUGACAGAGGCACACGCGGCACUGCAAGGACUGUUCUCUCGGUCCCUACCCACACCUCCCCAUGACGUGCCCAGGGAAGCCCAGGGCAAACCCUCCCACUGACGACAGGGGCACACGGUCAUCCCCACAUAAACCUCGCCAAGCGCCACGCAGAGCUGAGGAACCUGCCCUGGAGCAUCCCUCAGACUUCAGUGCCUGGUGCAACCUGACCUGCAGGCUGCUGCUGGCGCUCAAUCCUCAGCCACCUUAGCAGCUCAUGCCCUGCAAUUUUAACAUAAGAAUCAUAAAUUACACCGUGUUUCACAUCCACAUCAAUGGAAGAUAAUCAUAGCCUGGUAUCCUCACUCUGAAAAUACUGCAGCAAAUACACUGCGUUGUUCUUCCCAGAGCCCCUGAGCAGCCGUACCCCGGCACAUGGGGAAGGAAGAGCUGCAUGGGGCCAUCUGGGGCUGCCGUUGCUCAGGGGCCGGGAACAGGCAGCUUCUGCUGGAGGCAGGAGGGCUUAACAGUCUCUGAGCUCAAGAGCAGCCGUAAGUCUUGCUCUCACUAUUAGUGAAGUUGUAAAAUAUCGUGUUAGAAAUGCCAGCCUUGGAAGAACAAAAAGUAAGCACCAUGGUACUGUUUGUAAAGCACUGCAGAACAGAUGCCAGGUUAUUCUUUUCCAGCUUUUCUCCCCCCAUCUCUAACACAAGCCAGCUUUGCUUAAUUUAGCCUUUUGCAGUUGUUGGUCAUUGCAGAUGAUCUCUUCUACACCAAAACAGUUGGUCUGGCUCUGGCCAGAGGGGUAAACUAGAAAUUCUCCUUGGAACCUCUGCUUGGAGUGGGACCCACAGUGCCAGUGCCCAAGUGCUGCUCAGGAGCGAUGGGCACAUGCUGCCAGGAGCCUUGAAACCCCUCUUCCUUGACCUUGUGCCACACUGAAGCCUCUGGGUGCAUUUAGCAUGUACCAUCCAGGACAGCUUUAUCCAUUGUCCUUGCCCUGGUUGUGUGAGGGAUCAGGAGCCAUAUGGGGAUGUGGUGCUUCUACCAGGGCUGGAGGAACCCCAGGGAGGACAGCAGGUUCCCCAGGGAACGAGGCAAGAGCAGGCCAGAGGGGAGGGGGAAGGAAGCGCUGGUUUCCAUCAGCAGCAGGAGGGGAAAUCCAACAGGACACUGCUUACUCAGUGCCUGUGCCUCCCGGGGCCACUCAUCCUGCUGGAAAGGAGCUCGUGUGCUGGGAAAGUUAGAACUUGACUCAGGGUUAUUUAGUUACUUCGUCACGAGCUGUGAUGGGAUUAUGGGUGUGAACACGGUGGCACCCGGGAGCUUUUGCUCCCUCCCAGUGCCACAAGAAAGGAGAUGGGGGGUUCCCAGGAGACCUCAGCCCAUCCUGCGCAGCGCUGCCAGGAAAUAGAGUGAGUUAAAAGGGGGCAGGCACCCUUUCUUGCUCCAUCAGGGUGCAGGACACGGCCAUUGCCGGUCAGCAAAAGAUCAGCAGUUCUGGACGGGAGCCUGUUCUGCUGUUACCUUCUUUUUAAAUCCUCCGAACAUUGUGAAGCAGCAGGGAGGAAGCCGGGAAGGCAGUGAAGGCUGUAC